This 459-nucleotide ribosomal RNA is filed under the name Ceratinostoma ostiorum. RNAcentral describes it as "partial 16S ribosomal RNA". It matches the Rfam family "Bacterial large subunit ribosomal RNA", at positions 1922 to 2590 of the family's 2925-position model. Lineage: Eukaryota; Metazoa; Arthropoda; Insecta; Diptera; Scathophagidae. The record is from RNAcentral.
UUUAAAUGGCCGCAGUAUACUAACUGUGCAAAGGUAGCAUAAUCAUUAGUCUUUUAAUUGAAGGCUGGUAUGAAUGGUUGGACGAGAUAUUAACUGUUUCAUAAAAAUUUAUAUUAGAAUUUUAUUUUUUAGUCAAAAAGCUAAAAUUUAUUUAAAAGACGAGAAGACCCUAUAAAUCUUUAUAUUUAGGUUAUUAUAAUUUUAUAGAUUAUUUUUAUUAUAAUGAUUAAUAAUAUUUUAUUGGGGUGAUAUUAAAAUUUAAUGAACUUUUAAUUGUUAAAAUCAUUAAUUUAUGAAUAAGUGAUCCGUUAUUAACGAUUAAAAAAAUAAGUUACUUUAGGGAUAACAGCGUAAUUUUUUUGGAGAGUUCUUAUCGAUAAAAAAGAUUGCGACCUCGAUGUUGGAUUAAGAUAUAAUUUUAGGUGUAGCCGCUUAAAUUUUAAGUCUGUUCGACUUUUA